AAUUUCAGAAUUUGGCACAUAGAAUUUCAGAAUUUGGCACAUACCUUUCACACCUCGAUACAUAAUCUGAAACUCAUACUUUAUCUCAAAUUUUUGAAGUUUCAUCUUUAAUGAAAUAUAAAAGAAAGGGGGAGUAAUUCAAAAGGUCAAAUUGGAAAUAUUUGGAUGAAAUAGGGGGAGACUUCACUCUCAAAUUUGAAAAGCUGAAAUUCAACAACUUGAGCCCUUCUAAAACUAAUUUUAAGAUAAGUAUCAAUAGGCUCAUACUCAAUAUUUUGUAAUCAUCAAAAAGGAGGAGAUUGAGGAUGAUAGUGGUAUUUUGAUGAUUAAUACAACGAUUAAGAGUAUGUUACGAGUUAAUUCGAUACAUCAUUAAUAAGUCCGUCACUCUCGAUACAUUAGUAUAAUGAGAUAAAAUUUGCGAUAGAAAAGGGAUAGUGAACUCUAAAUUCUAAUUUGGCAAAGUUUCAAGUGAAACAUACUCUUAAGUGGACAAUAGUAAUUUUCAUUGUUUAGAGUAUGUAGCACUACCAUGACAUAUAUUCAAAAUUGUUUAAAGUUUAUUUCAUUGAUUAUAUGGAUGAAUCUAACCUUAAGUUGCAGCAAAGUGUGGAUUGAGUCGACCCCAAGAUUGAUUGAGUCGACCCCGGCACAUCAAGAAA
This 662-nucleotide long non-coding RNA is filed under the name Phoenix dactylifera (date palm). RNAcentral describes it as "long non-coding RNA (PDAC_LNC014392)". Lineage: Eukaryota; Viridiplantae; Streptophyta; Magnoliopsida; Arecales; Arecaceae. The record is from RNAcentral.